CAUACGUUUUAUGCCUCUGUGUGAUUGUGUCUUGAUACAUGCAUGGUUAGUUCUCGAGGGGGUGACUCCUAUGAAUACUUUGACCUCGUCUAGCAUACCCAGUGGCAUUAGACAAAGUCUCCACCACAAUACUGUCGCCAUGAUUGCGGAGAGGGUCUGAUAAAAUGGCUCACUCGCACACUAGCUUUUGAUCGCACUGAUUUAAUGUGCCCUAACUCAAACAUUUUGUAUAGAAGCAUGAGGUUUUUUUACAGUCAGGGAUGAAGUAUGACAUGUCUGCCAUCCAGUGGAGGGAAGGUCAAAUGAAAUUUGACACCCAAUUUGACAAAAUUGUCCAUUUUGUUCAGUGCCGCAUCAUGUCGAGUAAACUCGACCGUGGUGCCUAGAGGGUUAAUGCAGGCCAAAGUACACAGCAACGAAAGGGCUAAACUCUAAUAAUCGUCUCUGGUUAUGUAUUUGUCUCUGGUUACUUAAUAAUCGUCUCUGGUCUCUGGUUAAUAAUCGUCUCUGUUUACGUAUGUGUUACGUAUGUGUCCAGAGACGUCUCGUUCCCUGAAGGGAACCACGAGUCUUUAGGUUCCGGGGGGAGUAUGGUUGCAAAGCUGAAACUUAAAGGAAUUGACGGAAGGGCACCACCAGGAGUGGAGCCUGCGGCUUAAUUUGACUCAACACGGGAAAGCUCACCCGGCCCGGACACGGAAAGGAUUGACAGAUUGAUAGCUCUUUCUCGAUUCUGUGGGUGGUGGUGCAUGGCCGUUCUUAGUUGGUGGAGCGAUUUGUCUGGUUCAUUCCGAUAACGAACGAGACUCCGGCAUGCUAACUAGUUACGCGGCCCCGAGCGGUCGGCGUCCAACUUCUUAGAGGGACAAGUGGCGUUCAGCCACGCGAGAUGGAGCAAUAACAGGUCUGUGAUGCCCUUAGAUGUCCGGGGCUGCACGCGCGCCACAAUGGGCGGAUCAGCGUGUGCCUACCCUGCGCCGAGAGGCGCGGGUAACCCGCUGAACCCCGCUCGUGAUCGGGACUGGGGAUUGAAACUGUUUCCCAUCAACGAGGAAUUCCCAGUAAGCGCGGGUCAUAAGCUCGCGUUGAUUAAGUCCCUGCCCUUUGUACACACCGCCCGUCGCUACUACCGAUUGGGUGGUUUAGUGAGGUCCUUGGAUCGGCCCCGCCGGAGCUCCUCGCUGGGUUCUGGCGGAGCGUCGAGAAGACGAUCAAACUUGACCAUCUAGAGAUAGUAAAAGUCGUAACAAGGUUUCCGUAGGUGAACCUGCGGAAG
RNAcentral lists this ribosomal RNA (1276 nucleotides) under Pimephales promelas (fathead minnow). Its description in RNAcentral is "bacterial SSU rRNA". The stretch from base 583 to 1276 matches the Rfam family "Eukaryotic small subunit ribosomal RNA", at positions 1117 to 1823 of the family's 1831-position model. Lineage: Eukaryota; Metazoa; Chordata; Actinopteri; Cypriniformes; Leuciscidae. The record is from RNAcentral.